GAGUUUGAUCAUGGCUCAGAUUGAACGCUGGCGGCAGGCCUAACACAUGCAAGUCGAGCGGAAACGAGUUAUCUGAACCUUCGGGGAACGAUAACGGCGUCGAGCGGCGGACGGGUGAGUAAUGCCUAGGAAAUUGCCCUGAUGUGGGGGAUAACCAUUGGAAACAAUGGCUAAUACCGCAUGAUGCCUACGGGCCAAAGAGGGGGACCUUCGGGCCUCUCGCGUCAGGAUAUGCCUAGGUGGGAUUAGCUAGUUGGUGAGGUAAGGGCUCACCAAGGCGACGAUCCCUAGCUGGUCUGAGAGGAUGAUCAGCCACACUGGAACUGAGACACGGUCCAGACUCCUACGGGAGGCAGCAGUGGGGAAUAUUGCACAAUGGGCGCAAGCCUGAUGCAGCCAUGCCGCGUGUGUGAAGAAGGCCUUCGGGUUGUAAAGUACUUUCAGUCGUGAGGAAGGUGGUGUAGUUAAUAGCUGCAUUAUUUGACGUUAGCGACAGAAGAAGCACCGGCUAACUCCGUGCCAGCAGCCGCGGUAAUACGGAGGGUGCGAGCGUUAAUCGGAAUUACUGGGCGUAAAGCGCAUGCAGGUGGUUUGUUAAGUCAGAUGUGAAAGCCCGGGGCUCAACCUCGGAAUAGCAUUUGAAACUGGCAGACUAGAGUACUGUAGAGGGGGGUAGAAUUUCAGGUGUAGCGGUGAAAUGCGUAGAGAUCUGAAGGAAUACCGGUGGCGAAGGCGGCCCCCUGGACAGAUACUGACACUCAGAUGCGAAAGCGUGGGGAGCAAACAGGAUUAGAUACCCUGGUAGUCCACGCCGUAAACGAUGUCUACUUGGAGGUUGUGGCCUUGAGCCGUGGCUUUCGGAGCUAACGCGUUAAGUAGACCGCCUGGGGAGUACGGUCGCAAGAUUAAAACUCAAAUGAAUUGACGGGGGCCCGCACAAGCGGUGGAGCAUGUGGUUUAAUUCGAUGCAACGCGAAGAACCUUACCUACUCUUGACAUCCAGAGAACUUUCCAGAGAUGGAUUGGUGCCUUCGGGAACUCUGAGACAGGUGCUGCAUGGCUGUCGUCAGCUCGUGUUGUGAAAUGUUGGGUUAAGUCCCGCAACGAGCGCAACCCUUAUCCUUGUUUGCCAGCGAGUAAUGUCGGGAACUCCAGGGAGACUGCCGGUGAUAAACCGGAGGAAGGUGGGGACGACGUCAAGUCAUCAUGGCCCUUACGAGUAGGGCUACACACGUGCUACAAUGGCGCAUACAGAGGGCAGCCAACUUGCGAAAGUGAGCGAAUCCCAAAAAGUGCGUCGUAGUCCGGAUUGGAGUCUGCAACUCGACUCCAUGAAGUCGGAAUCGCUAGUAAUCGUGGAUCAGAAUGCCACGGUGAAUACGUUCCCGGGCCUUGUACACACCGCCCGUCACACCAUGGGAGUGGGCUGCAAAAGAAGUAGGUAGUUU
RNAcentral lists this ribosomal RNA (1448 nucleotides) under Vibrio alginolyticus. RNAcentral's name for it is "partial 16S ribosomal RNA". It matches the Rfam family "Bacterial small subunit ribosomal RNA". Lineage: Bacteria; Pseudomonadati; Pseudomonadota; Gammaproteobacteria; Vibrionales; Vibrionaceae. The record is from RNAcentral.